RNAcentral lists this ribosomal RNA (734 nucleotides) under uncultured bacterium. RNAcentral's name for it is "bacterial SSU rRNA". It matches the Rfam family "Bacterial small subunit ribosomal RNA", at positions 28 to 776 of the family's 1533-position model. The record is from RNAcentral.
GACGAACGCUGGCGGCGCGCCUAACACAUGCAAGUCGAACGAGCGAGAGAGAGCUUGCUUUCUCGAGCGAGUGGCGAACGGGUGAGUAACGCGUGAGGAACCUGCCUCAAAGAGGGGGACAACAGUUGGAAACGACUGCUAAUACCGCAUAAGCCCACAGGUCGGCAUCGACCAGAGGGAAAAGGAGCAAUCCGCUUUGAGAUGGCCUCGCGUCCGAUAGCUAGUUGGUGAGGUAACGGCCCACCAAGGCGACGAUCGGUAGCCGGACUGAGAGGUUGAACGGCCACAUUGGGACUGAGACACGGCCCAGACUCCUACGGGAGGCAGCAGUGGGGAAUAUUGCACAAUGGGGGAAACCCUGAUGCAGCGACGCCGCGUGGAGGAAGAAGGUCUUCGGAUUGUAAACUCCUGUUGUUGAGGAAGAUAAUGACGGUACUCAACAAGGAAGUGACGGCUAACUACGUGCCAGCAGCCGCGGUAAAACGUAGGUCACAAGCGUUGUCCGGAAUUACUGGGUGUAAAGGGAGCGCAGGCGGGAAGACAAGUUGGAAGUGAAAUCUAUGGGCUCAACCCAUAAACUGCUUUCAAAACUGUUUUUCUUGAGUAGUGCAGAGGUAGGCGGAAUUCCCGGUGUAGCGGUGGAAUGCGUAGAUAUCGGGAGGAACACCAGUGGCGAAGGCGGCCUACUGGGCACCAACUGACGCUGAGGCUCGAAAGUGUGGGUAGCAAACAGG